RNAcentral lists this ribosomal RNA (628 nucleotides) under uncultured bacterium. RNAcentral describes it as "bacterial SSU rRNA". It matches the Rfam family "Bacterial small subunit ribosomal RNA", at positions 209 to 831 of the family's 1533-position model. The record is from RNAcentral.
GGCCCUGCGCUAUCAGAUGAGCCUAGGUCGGAUUAGCUAGUUGGUGAGAAUGGCUCCCCCAAGGGCGACGAUCCCGUAAACUGGUCUGAGAGGAUGAUCAGUCCACUGGAACUGAGACACCGGUCCCAGACUCCUACGGGAGGCAGCAGUGGGGAAUAUUGGACUGGGCGAAAGCCUGAUCCCAGCCCAUGCCGCGUGUGUGAAGAAAGGUCUUUCGGGAUUAAAGCACUUUAAGUUGGGAGGAAGGGGCAUUAACCUAAUACGUUAGUGUUUUGACGUUCCGACAGAAUAAGCACCCGGCUAACUCUGUGCCCAGCGAGCCGCGGUAAUACAGAGGGCAAAGCGUUAAUCGGAAUUACUGGGCGUAAAGCGCGCGUAGGUGGUUUGUUAAGUUGGGUGAAAUCCCCGGGCUCAACCUGGGAACUGCAUUCAAAACUGACUGACUAGAGUAUGGGAGGGUGGUGGAAUUUCCUGUGUAGCGGUGAAAUGCGUAGAUAUAGGAAGGAACACCAGGCGAAGGCGACCACCUGGACUAAUACUGACACUGAGGUGCGAAAGCGUGGGGAGCAAAGGAUUAGAUACCCUGGUAGUCCACGCCGUAAACGAUGUCAACUAGCCGUUGGAAGCC